This 3124-nucleotide long non-coding RNA is filed under the name Solanum tuberosum (potato). RNAcentral's name for it is "long non-coding RNA (STUB_LNC004262)". The record is from RNAcentral. Lineage: Eukaryota; Viridiplantae; Streptophyta; Magnoliopsida; Solanales; Solanaceae.
CCAAUGAUUCAUCUAAAUUAAUGAGAAAAGUUAAUAAAAGUUAGCAUUUCCAAAACAAAUUAAGGGCAUAAAUCGAGAUAGUAUAUAAUAAGAAUCUAGGCCGUUGGCCUAAAUUCUCUUUGCUGCUGCCAUGGUGUUAUUAUUGCCGAUCUAAUUGGACUUUUUAAGUCCAAAAAAGAAUCCAAUUUUCAAUCCUUUGGGGCUGCUGCCAUCCUGCUGGUUAAAUGAGACUCUUUUAAGUCCAAAUUUUCCAAUUUUCAGCUUUUGGGAGUGUCGUAACUCUGCUAUAGAGCUGCUGCCCGUGGUUUGGAUUUUAACCCGUUAAUAUUAGCUUCUGUUUCACGUCUCGGAUGAGAUUGACUCAAAAGAGAGGAGUAUGCAAGAAGGGGGGAGUCCAUUGGACUCAAAUGAAUGUCACAUGCGAAGAAAGGAAAGGAAGUAACGUUAGAACUAACAUAAAAUAAUAAUAAUAAUAGUACAAUAAAAUAAAAAAUCAAGCUAAGCUGCUAACUUAGCAUUACAGAAAAAAAAACUUAGAAUCUAUCAACAUCUAACUACCAUCUUAAGAGUAGGCCUUCUACUAAUAACCAAAAUAAGGAACAUGCAUGAUUAACAACUAAAAAAAAUUAAACACUUAGUGCGAGAUUUUUUUUUAUUUUUAAAAUAAGCUAAAACAAACAGAGGAGUCAUAAUAUUUAGCUUAGCUACUGAUGUGCAGAAAAACAUUGGAUAAACAAUAACAGAACACUACUUUGGAACAAUAUCUUUGGAGCCAAAAAUCCACUCAUAAUGUAAACCAAACUCAAAAGAUCCAACUAAAACUUAUACCAUCAGAGGUUCUAUGAGAAAUCUAGAACUAAACAUGUGCAAAGGGACCCAAGAAAUUCAAAUAAGAGAGGAAAAACAGAGAAAUUGAUUCAAUUUAAAAUAGCUAACAAAGCUAAACAAAGCAGUGGGAACAAUAAGCAAUUGAUCAAUGAAAAAUGGAAAACAACGCAUGCUAAACUUGUUGUGAACGAGGCUCUAGGUCUCAAGUUAAACUUCAUAACGAAUAUUUAAAAUUCAACCCCUAAUAGAAUCAAACUACUCAGGUAAGCAGACCAACACUUAAUACCAUACCUAAGUUGAACCUUUAAAACCAGCCUCGGGACAAAACAGAGAGCAGAAAAUAAGAUAAUACUAUCAUGUAGCAUUUAAAUGUAAAUCCAAGAAACUCUAUACUCAAAUUCAAGUAGGGGUCUGAGGAUGGUAAAUCAAUAUACUUUAGGAUGCAUAAGAGCCACGAUAUAAGCUUUCAUUCAUCCAAGCCUAGCUCUUUGGAGAAUGCUAAAGAGCAACCCCAAAGGUAAGCUAUUUUCAACACAAACAUGACAGUCGAGCUAGCAAGAAUGAUGCAUUUUUUAGGCUUUUUUCUGUCUAAUCAGAUGUAAUGCAAAACCAAAUAAGUAAAAUUUGCUAUUUAUCAUAGACAAGUUCAUAUUUCACGAAAAGGAAAAGUCUUAAGAAAAAGAACUUAAGCUUAGAUCAACAACACCAAUAGCCUUCUCUAACUACAUGAUUCAUCCUAGUCUAUAUACAGUAAAUUUCUAGGCAUGGAAACUUAAAAAUUUGUCAAGACUCAAUGUUUAGCUAGGUCUGGCAGGUUUCAGGAAGUUACACAUUUAAACCAGAUGAUCACAAGACUAGUGUAUAUUCAUUUUAAAUCAGAGAUAGCAAACAGAUUGUUAAAUAGACAAAAGAAAGGGAAAAGCUCAGCCUGAGCUAGGACAACUUUUAACCAUAAGAAAGAUAAUCAAACUGUGUUGAAUCUGAAAUUUUAACAAACAACAUAUGAUAAUGAAGAAAUGCUAGAUGGAACAACAAUAACUCGAUUGAUUCAAACUAUACUAGAGAUUAGCUAAAAAACUAAUAAUUUGGGCACAACAAAGUUCAGCAUAACACUCGGUCCAAACAAACUUGAGGCAGUGAAGUACACAACUUACAACUCUAAACAUAUGUAUCUAAAGAAAGCAAUGAAGAGAAAUCAACAACUAUAUAACAUGGAUUUCAAAGUCGAAUGAAAAUAAUAGCAACUAGAAACGCCUAUAAAGACUUAUGAACUCGACUAAGUAAAAGAACCAAAUUCACAUCUUGAACUAUAUAAGAAGAAGAAAAAACCAUCAGUAGAGCAAAAUAUUUAAUAAACUCAUUUAAAAUUGAAUAAUAAAAACUUUUGUUGUCGUUCACAUAACCAUUACACUAAUCACAUUGAAUCUAAAAAAUAAUUAAUACUAAAACAAACAACAAUUCUGCAAUGCAACAGAGAGAAAGGAUUAAAGAAAGAGCAAGAAGAUUACUUGGUUCUGGGCAGCGAACCGGAUGGACGAGUUUGACGAUGACAACCUCUACCACCAAAACGAGACUAUGAGGACUCCUAUGAAUGAGCAAGGAAUCCACACUAUAAUCGCACUGAUCUCUCCUCUGUUUCGAAUGUGCUUAGUACGUAUUUUUACUGUUUUUGCUUAAGUUGUUCCAAAUAUUUUUUUUGCUCAAAAAAAAUCCCCCCUAUGAAUGAAUAAGGAGGAGGUUUAUAUAGGGGAAAUUAGGGUUCGUAAUAGAGGGGAAAAGAUGAGGGUAAAACGGGUAAGAACCAAGGAACGAAUUCAAAAUUCAAAAUUCUCCUCUUAUCCUCAAACAGGGGAGAGCUUAUUUUCGCUCAAAUCCAAAAGAUUUCAAAAAGAGGAAGGGCGAGGUGGACGUCUAGGAUGAUUCCAAUGUCCUUGAACGUCGACGUGUCUCCAUCUUAAGCUGAAAAAGGACAAAAAUGCGGCUGUUGCAGGUGCUUUUCGCUGGAAUCGCGACUGGAACAGUACCAUCGUACUGGGUGAAGAAGGCGACGAGAAUAAAAUUGUUACGCGUACAUAAACGCCGUGAAUCGCUUUCCGUCCGCUUGUGAACGUUGGAGGAAAUAUUGUUGAUGCUUCCGUCUGCUGGCUGUGAAGACGUCGUGCAUUUUGACGUCGCGCUGCUUGGGCUCGCUGGAUUCGGGUCACGUUCUGGCUGGGUUUCGCGAGUUGGGUCACGUUUCUGCGUGAAAGAGAAAGAAGAAGAACAUACGGGGGUGGGGUCGUUUCUGGUAUUUGUU